Phacochoerus africanus (Common warthog) is the source of this 806-nucleotide long non-coding RNA. RefSeq lists it as uncharacterized. The record is from RefSeq and is a predicted model, not a curated record. The transcript has 3 exons. Lineage: Eukaryota; Metazoa; Chordata; Mammalia; Artiodactyla; Suidae.
GUUUCCAACACAGUGAUCCUUAACCCAAUAUAAUUUAGGCUCCAUGCUUUGAUUCUUCUGCUACCUAAUCAGUAAGAAAUGGAUGAAAUACCAAAAAGAUUCAAGCAUCUUAAUAAUAGUAAAUUUUACAGGUCCAGAAUAUAUUCACAAAACAUUGGAAUUUUCACCUGUUGUUUCCUUGGGAUAGAUAUUCCAGGCAAUAGUCCAGAACUCGGCUACCAUCAACACUGGAGAGAUGGCAGACUUCCUGUCCCUUCUCAUACCCUGUUUGAAUGACUUUGGUGGUGUUUCUUCAUCGGCCAAGUUUCUACAUUAAGGCUGAAUAUGUGGCUGGCACAGGAGCUGCCUCCUGGACAAGCUGCAGGGAAGAUACUUUACCUGCUGUCUCUGCAGAAGAUGAUGCAAAAGAGAACCCAAGUCGAACAAAUCCAGAGGUUCUUCUGCAAAUACUGCGGACAUAGCUGUCUCCUGGCUCACGACGCUUUCUGCCACACUCAACAUUCACGGAACACCCGCAUCGCUCUACUGCCCUAAGAACCUGAAGAUCUGAAUAUUGUCCUCAUGGGGGCUCAUGGUUUAGUAGAUGACAGUGAGUUUGACCAACAAGCAGAAGCUCUCUUACUUAAGGAGUCACUGGACACACUUACAGGUGCACGUUCAUGGUUGUUAACUGUCCUGUCACUGGGCAUAUGUGGGAUCACGACUUACACAAGACUUAAGCAUGGUCAAAUCCAGCAGAAGGGGGUUAAAUAAAGCAGGAAUUGCUUGAGACAAGUCUGUGGGGACCUACGCCCAGGAGCAGAGCG